Molecule: small nucleolar RNA, 214 nt
Filed under: Neogobius melanostomus (round goby)
Lineage: Eukaryota; Metazoa; Chordata; Actinopteri; Gobiiformes; Gobiidae
Description: Small nucleolar RNA U3 (ENSNMLG00000009424.1)
Rfam family: Small nucleolar RNA U3
About the family: Small nucleolar RNAs (snoRNAs) are involved in the processing and modification of rRNA in the nucleolus. There are two main classes of snoRNAs: the box C/D class, and the box H/ACA class.
Source: Rfam by way of RNAcentral
AAGGCUAGUACUUUCAGGGAUCAUUUCUAUAGUUUGUGACUUGAGAAAUUUGUUUCUAAAGUGAUGGUCCGCUGCCCCGAUGAAAGUUGGUGAAUAACUCCUUCUUGAAACAUGAAGAAAGUAGAGACUUGGUCAAUCAAUUGUUCUUUGCUCACUGAUGAACUGUUCACUGUUUCUUUUAGAGACAGUGUGUGAAUGAGUAUGAUUGAGUGGC